RNAcentral lists this ribosomal RNA (397 nucleotides) under uncultured bacterium. Its description in RNAcentral is "partial 16S ribosomal RNA". It matches the Rfam family "Bacterial small subunit ribosomal RNA", at positions 338 to 733 of the family's 1533-position model. The record is from RNAcentral.
CCUACGGGUGGCAGCAGUGAGGAAUAUUGGUCAAUGGGCGAGAGCCUGAACCAGCCAAGUCGCGUGAGGGACGACGGCCCUACGGGUUGUAAACCUCUUUUGCCGGGGGACAAACGGCGGCACGCGUGCCGUCCUGAGGGUACCCGGUGAAAAAGGAUCGGCUAACUCCGUGCCAGCAGCCGCGGUAAUACGGAGGAUGCGAGCGUUAUCCGGAUUUAUUGGGUUUAAAGGGUGCGUAGGCGGGAGGCAAAGUCAGCGGUCAAAUACGUGGGCUCAACCUGCGUCCGCAGUUGAAACUGGCGUUCUUGAGUGGACGAGAGGUACGCGGAAUGCGUGGUGGAGCGGUGAAAUGCAUAGAUAUCACGCAGAACCCCGAUUGCGAAGGCAGCGUACCGGC